UAAGCAAGUCUCUGGACAGGAUGUGCAA
RNAcentral lists this non-coding RNA (28 nucleotides) under Rattus norvegicus (Norway rat). Lineage: Eukaryota; Metazoa; Chordata; Mammalia; Rodentia; Muridae. The record is from RNAcentral.